Long non-coding RNA from Rhagoletis zephyria (snowberry fruit fly), 985 nucleotides. RefSeq lists it as uncharacterized. Lineage: Eukaryota; Metazoa; Arthropoda; Insecta; Diptera; Tephritidae. The record is from RefSeq and is a predicted model, not a curated record.
AUCAAGAAAGUCAGUGCUUGCUUUACCGCUUAAAUACAUACGUAGUGGAAAAACUAACUUAAAGCGCUUAAAUAAAGUUUAUAUAUGGAGUAGUAGCAGCGGAAAAAAUUAAUGUUAAAAGCAAUGACUAUUUAUGGUCUCAUCGUUCAAAUUAUACUAAUUUGUUAUUGAACUUACAGUGUUUUGAUUAUUUUCUUUGAAAUAUCAAUUUCAAUGGAUUAUGUGCCGUUGAAAGAAUCGGACACAAAGGUUUAAAAUGCGAUUUCGAAGUAAACAAAUAGCUUCGUUCCUCAAAUUUCCUGGAUAAAACCUGUAAAACUGUCAAAAAGCAAAAUUGCUCUGAGAGAGAGAGAGGAGAGAAACAACUCAUAAAGUGCGGCAACGCUUUUCGGGUAAAAACUGGUAGAACUGUCAAAUACACCUUGGACGCAAUUUUUUGUCUACAUAGCAGUUUUAUCAUUUGGCGAUGUGCUAAAUUAUACGCAAAUACACAAACUUACAAAACUUGUUAUUUCUUCGCUACGAUAUAUUUAAUAAGAUUGGAUGGCAUUAUGUAGAUGACACGGCUACCGGAUUAUGGAUUACAAUUGAAUGAAGGAAAAUCGCAGUUUUUGGCAAAGAAAAUGUUGUAUAUAUGUAUAUCUAACGGCCGUACUUCGAUGUUUUUCAUCUUUCUACCAAAAGUUUACAGUUUUCGAAAGAACCUAAGUUAUGUUAAGGCUUAAAUAUUUGCAAAGUAAAUACAUAUGUAAAAACGUUUGUUUUAUAUAGAAUUUAUAGCAACGAGCUGAAAAAGUAAAUGAAAAUAUUUUACUUUUUUUUCUCGAUACACAUCAGUACAUACAUACAUACAUAUGUACACACUCGUAUGUAAAUGUUGAAAAAUAAAUAGAAAAAAUAUAUGUCUUAUUGAUAAAAAUAAAAAUGUGAAUUCGGAGAAAUAUUUUCGAAAAUCCUUUCUUUUACCAGAAAGGUGGAACCUCAA